UUUCCGUAGGUGAACCUGCGGAAGGAUCAUUCUUAAUAAAUGUUUUAUGGCACUUUUUAAAUCCAUAGCCACCUUGUGUGCAAUGUCAGGCGUUCUCUUCUAUGGGUACGACCAAACAUUAACCAACUCUUUAACUCUUUGUCUGGAAAAUAUUACGAAUAAAAUAGUUCAACAUACAACUUUCAACAACGGAUCUCUUGGCUCUC
This 206-nucleotide unclassified non-coding RNA is filed under the name plant metagenome. RNAcentral describes it as "partial contains small subunit ribosomal RNA, internal transcribed spacer 1, and 5.8S ribosomal RNA". The record is from RNAcentral.